This 1479-nucleotide long non-coding RNA is filed under the name Coffea arabica (coffee). Its description in RNAcentral is "long non-coding RNA (CARA_LNC001605)". Lineage: Eukaryota; Viridiplantae; Streptophyta; Magnoliopsida; Gentianales; Rubiaceae. The record is from RNAcentral.
UGGGCCGUUAACCGUCCCUGCCCCAUUUCCCUUGUGGCCUUAUUUGCCAGGUAAAUUUUUUUUUCAAGUUUGUUUCUAAUAAAAUUUUUAAUAAUUUUAACUAUAAUAAUCUCAAAAAUUUUAAAAAUUUAAAAUUUUAUAUAUUUCAAAAAAAUUUAAAAUAUUAUAUAUUUCAAAAAGAUUUUUUACAACUCCUAUAAUAAGUUACCGUAAAAUUUUAGAUAAAAACGCCGAAAAAUUUACUUAUCAAACGCCAGUUCUCGGCACGAAGUAGUGAAUUAGAGCAAAAACUUGGGUAAAUCCGGUCUACGGUCCAACCUGUAGACCGAGUGACCCAUAAUGUGCCGCGUCCUCUUUUUAUUUUCAAGUUCUUUCGCCCCCUGAAAAAUCUACCAAUGACAGGAUCCUUCAAGCUUUUUCUCUGCAUAUCCUGACCUCAAACCUCCCAGUUACCGCUACCAUUAUGAUUUCCUCCAUCCCACCUAACUUCACCGCUCUCUUCUCUUAUGUGUUACCGCCGGCACCUCCUGCAAUUCUCCCAGUUUGAAAACUUCUCCUUCCUCUCCACGAGAUUCUCUUGCCCUUCAGUCUUUUUGAGACAAAAUCUACCUCUUUAUUUGUUUCAUCAUCUCCUCUGCCCAAUCUUUGAGUUUGAGUAUAUAAGACACUAAGACUUACAGUAGUGUCUCUUUAGUAGAUCUGCAAAUCAAACGAAAGACAGGACUCAUGAAUUUUCUUCCUUUCUUCUUCUCCCAAGAUUUUCUCUGCCUCAAGUUUGGCUGGCUCCUUUCUCAUGUGAUUUUGUUGAUAUAAAUUUGUUUGUUUGAGAAUGAGUUCCACCUUUCAACUGAUUACUUUGGCAUGCAUAAACGUGAUUCAAAAGGCAUCUCUAUAUAUUUUACUACACCACUCAGUUGGGGUGUUACCGUCGAGAGACAAAAGGGAAGAAAAGCAAGGCACUGCGAUUGAAGAAGCUCGGGAAGAGAUCCUGAGUCGGCGUCGUUUUAAAACAGUAAAGCUUCGAAGGAGCAAAUUUCUGAUUUCUCAGUACUUCAUUUGUAUUGAUGGCGUGGCACAUUGUAGGUCACUCGGUCUACGGAUGGGCUAGUAGACCGGAUUUAUCCAAGUUUUUGCCGUGAAGUAGCGGAGCAGUCUAUGAAUUACGAAUUUUGGGACGAGGGCCUGGACAGGCAGUUCACGGCCUAAAAAAUUUGUGCAGUUCUAAUUACGUCUUAUAAUUCGAUUUUUAUGUCGCGUGAGAUUCACAAAAAUAUUAUUCUAUUAUUAUUUAUUAUUAUUUUAUUAUUACACUUUAUAUAGAUGAUGUUACAUCAUAUAUAAAUGUUGUUACAUCAUAUAUAAAUGUUGUUACAUUUUCUGACAAUCACUCCAGUCCUGCCUCCCGAAUUUUGACCCCCUUUGGACUUUUCGGACCUAGUGUACCGUGCCCAUAUGAGACUCUUCGAAACAAGACACUGG